Oryza punctata is the source of this 141-nucleotide non-coding RNA. The record is from Rfam. Lineage: Eukaryota; Viridiplantae; Streptophyta; Magnoliopsida; Poales; Poaceae.
CGCGUGGAUGACGACAACCUUCUGUUCUACAUCAUCGCUGGCCUCAACGACGAGUAUGUGAACUGGUUGUGUCUUCUCUUGUUGGGAGACCAGACCCGGUUUCCAUAGGAGAAGCCUUUGCCCAGCUGCUGAGCUUUGAAC